GUCUUUUUGAUUAUAAUUUAAAGUCUAACCUGCCCACUGAAUUUUUUGAAGGGCCGCGGUAUUUUGACUGUGCAAAGGUAGCAUAAUCAUUAGUCUUUUAAUUGGAGGCUUGUAUGAAUGGUUGGAUGAGGUAUUAACUGUCUCAAUUUAAUAAAUAAUAGAAUUUUAUUUUUAAGUUAAAAAGCUUAAAUUUAAUUAAAAGACGAGAAGACCCUAUAGAUCUUUAUAAUUUAUUUUAUAAUAAUUUUUUAGGUUAAAUUUAUUUUUAUAAAAUUAAUUAUUUUAUUGGGGUGAUAAAAAAAUUUAUAAAACUUUUUUUUGUGUAUUAACAGUGAUAUUUGAUUAAUUGAUCCAUUUUUUGUGAUUAUAAGAUUAAGUUACCUUAGGGAUAACAGCGUAAUUUUUUUGGAGAGUUCUUAUCGAUAAAAAAGAUUGCGACCUCGAUGUUGAAUUAAAGGUUAAUUUUAGGUGUAGAAGUUUAAAAUUUUGGUCUGUUCGACCAUUAAAUC
This 509-nucleotide ribosomal RNA is filed under the name Parachauliodes japonicus. RNAcentral describes it as "partial large subunit ribosomal RNA". The stretch from base 388 to 509 matches the Rfam family "Bacterial large subunit ribosomal RNA", at positions 2473 to 2594 of the family's 2925-position model. The record is from RNAcentral. Lineage: Eukaryota; Metazoa; Arthropoda; Insecta; Megaloptera; Corydalidae.